AAUGAACGUUGGCGGCGUGGAUUAGGCAUGCAAGUCGCGCGAGAACCCGCAAGGGGGAAAGCGGCGAAAGGGACAGUAAUAUGUAGAUUACCUACCCUCUGGACCGGAAUAGCUGCGGGAAACUGCAGGUAAUGCCGGAUAAAGUCUUCGGACCAAAGGUGUGAGUCCGCCGGAGGAUGGGUCUGCAUCCUAUUAGCUUGUUGGUGGGGUAACGGCCUACCAAGGCCAUGAUGGGUAGCGGGUGUGAGAGCACGACCCGCGUCAUUGGGACUGAGACACUGCCCAGACACCUACGGGUGGCUGCAGUCGAGGAUCUUCGGCAAUGGGCGCAAGCCUGACCGAGCGACGCCGCGUGUGGGAUGAAGGCCUUCGGGUUGUAAACCACUGUCAGUGGGGAGGAAAUGUAUGUGGGUACUCCCACAUAUUUGACCUAUCCGCAGAGGAAGUACGGGCUAAGUUCGUGCCAGCCGCCGCCGUAA
RNAcentral lists this ribosomal RNA (479 nucleotides) under uncultured bacterium. Its description in RNAcentral is "partial 16S ribosomal RNA". It matches the Rfam family "Bacterial small subunit ribosomal RNA", at positions 29 to 523 of the family's 1533-position model. The record is from RNAcentral.